GGGCUCACACAAGCGGUGGAGCAUGUGGCUUAAUUCGAGGCAACGCGAAGAACCUUAUCCUGGGUUUGACAUGUACGGAUGGCUCGCCUGAAAGGGAUGAGUCUGCCUUCGGGUGAAACGUACACAGGUGCUGCAUGGCUGUCGUCAGCUCGUGUCGUGAGAUGUAGGGUUAAGUCCUUAAACGAGCGCAACCCUUGUCCUUAGUUGCCAGCGGGUCAUGCCGGGACUCUAGGAGACGCCGGUGUUAAACCGGAGAAGGUGGGACGACGUCAAGUCAUCAUGGCCUUAUGCCCAGGGCUGCACACGUGCUACAAUUGGGACGUACAAAGGGCUGCGAGACGCGAGGUUAAGCG
Molecule: ribosomal RNA, 353 nt
Filed under: uncultured bacterium
Lineage: Bacteria
Description: bacterial SSU rRNA
Rfam family: Bacterial small subunit ribosomal RNA
Source: RNAcentral